Molecule: small nucleolar RNA, 102 nt
Organism: Alnus glutinosa
Lineage: Eukaryota; Viridiplantae; Streptophyta; Magnoliopsida; Fagales; Betulaceae
Product: small nucleolar RNA Z103
Exons: 1
Source: RefSeq, a predicted model, not a curated record
AUGGACGUGAUGAUUAUUUCCCCAAAUUAUCGAAGCUGAUUAUAACUGUGCUAUUUUUUGUAAUUCUCUUUUUGGAGAAUCCAAGCCAGUAUUCUGAUCCGU